UGCCCCUAUGGUGUAACAGGAUAGCACAUGAACCUUCUAAGUUUAGAGUCCAGGUUCGAAUCCUGGUAGGGGCGU
Molecule: transfer RNA, 75 nt
Filed under: Streptococcus pneumoniae
Lineage: Bacteria; Bacillati; Bacillota; Bacilli; Lactobacillales; Streptococcaceae
Description: tRNA-Arg(tct)
Rfam family: tRNA
About the family: Transfer RNA (tRNA) molecules are approximately 80 nucleotides in length. Their secondary structure includes four short double-helical elements and three loops (D, anti-codon, and T loops).
Source: RNAcentral